UGGGGAAUAUUGGACAAUGGGCGCAAGCCUGAUCCAGCCAUGCCGCGUGUGUGAAGAAGGCCUUUUGGUUGUAAAGCACUUUAAGCGAGGAGGAGGCUACUUGGAUUAAUACUCUAGGAUAGUGGACGUUACUCGCAGAAUAAGCACCGGCUAACUCUGUGCCAGCAGCCGCGGUAAUACAGAGGGUGCGAGCGUUAAUCGGAUUUACUGGGCGUAAAGCGUGCGUAGGCGGCUUCUUAAGUCGGAUGUGAAAUCCCUGAGCUUAACUUAGGAAUUGCAUUCGAUACUGGGAAGCUAGAGUAUGGGAGAGGAUGGUAGAAUUCCAGGUGUAGCGGUGAAAUGCGUAGAGAUCUGGAGGAAUACCGAUGCGAAGGCAGCCAUCUGGCCUAAUACUGACGCUGAGGUACGAAAGCAUGGGGAGCAAACAGG
Molecule: ribosomal RNA, 429 nt
Filed under: bacterium
Lineage: Bacteria
Description: partial 16S ribosomal RNA
Rfam family: Bacterial small subunit ribosomal RNA
Source: RNAcentral